RNAcentral lists this ribosomal RNA (378 nucleotides) under uncultured bacterium. Its description in RNAcentral is "bacterial SSU rRNA". It matches the Rfam family "Bacterial small subunit ribosomal RNA", at positions 521 to 896 of the family's 1533-position model. The record is from RNAcentral.
UAAUACGAAGGGUGCGAGCGUUAUUCGGAGUGAUUGGGCGUAAAGGGUGCGUAGGCUGUGCGUUAAGUCAACUGUCAAAUUUCCCAGCUUAACUGGGAGCCGGCGGUUGAAACUGGCGUGCUUGAGGGUGGAAGAGAGAAGUGGAAUUCUCGGAGUAGCGGUAAAAUGCGUAGAUCUCGAGAGGAACACCGAUGGCGAAGGCAGCUUCUUGGUCCACACCUGACGCUGAUGCACGAAAGCGUGGGGAGCAAACAGGAUUAGAUACCCUGGUAGUCCACGCUGUAAACGAUGGUCACUAGACGUUGGUUCCGCUCUGCGGGAUCAGUGUCGUAGCUAACGCGUUAAGUGACCCGCCUGGGGAGUACGGUCGCAAGAUUA